UACGUAGGUGGCAAGCGUUGUCCGGAUUUAUUGGGUUUAAAGGGUGCGUAGGCGGCUUUGUAUGUCAGUGGUGAAAUAUGGCAGCUCAACUGUCAGGGUGCCAUUGAUACUGCGGAGCUUGAGUACAGAUGAGGUAGGCGGAAUUGACGGUGUAGCGGUGAAAUGCUUAGAUAUCGUCAAGAACACCGAUAGCGAAGGCAGCUUACUGGGCUGUAACUGACGCUGAGGCACGAAAGUGUGGGGAUCAAACAGG
Molecule: ribosomal RNA, 253 nt
Filed under: uncultured bacterium
Lineage: Bacteria
Description: partial 16S ribosomal RNA
Rfam family: Bacterial small subunit ribosomal RNA
Source: RNAcentral